UACGUAGGGUGCGAGCGUUGUCCGGAAUUAUUGGGCGUAAAGAGCUCGUAGGCGGUGUGUUACGUCGGCCGUGAAAACCUGCAGCUUAACUGUGGGCGUGCGGUCGAUACGGGCAUCACUGGAGUUCGGCAGGGGAGACUGGAAUUCCUGGUGUAGCGGUGAAAUGCGCAGAUAUCAGGAGGAACACCGGUGGCGAAGGCGGGUCUCUGGGCCGAUACUGACGCUGAGGAGCGAAAGCGUGGGGAGCGAACAGG
RNAcentral lists this ribosomal RNA (254 nucleotides) under uncultured bacterium. RNAcentral's name for it is "partial 16S ribosomal RNA". It matches the Rfam family "Bacterial small subunit ribosomal RNA", at positions 524 to 776 of the family's 1533-position model. The record is from RNAcentral.